RNAcentral lists this ribosomal RNA (1443 nucleotides) under uncultured organism. Its description in RNAcentral is "SSU rRNA". It matches the Rfam family "Bacterial small subunit ribosomal RNA". The record is from RNAcentral.
GGCUUAACACAUGCAAGUCGAGGGGCAGCAUGGUCUUAGCUUGCUAAGGCCGAUGGCGACCGGCGCACGGGUGAGUAACGCGUAUCCAACCUGCCUUACACUCUUGGACAGCCUUCUGAAAGGGAGAUUAAUACAAGAUGUUAUCAUGAGUAAGCAUUUUCGCAUGAUUAAAGGUUUACCGGUGUAAGAUGGGGAUGCGUUCCAUUAGAUAGUAGGCGGGGUAACGGCCCACCUAGUCUUCGAUGGAUAGGGGUUCUGAGAGGAAGGUCCCCCACAUUGGAACUGAGACACGGUCCAAACUCCUACGGGAGGCAGCAGUGAGGAAUAUUGGUCAAUGGACGAGAGUCUGAACCAGCCAAGUAGCGUGAAGGAUGAAGGUUCUAUGGAUUGUAAACUUCUUUUAUACGGGAAUAAACGGAUCCACGUGUGGAUUUUUGCAUGUACCGUAUGAAUAAGGAUCGGCUAACUCCGUGCCAGCAGCCGCGGUAAUACGGAGGAUCCGAGCGUUAUCCGGAUUUAUUGGGUUUAAAGGGAGCGUAGAUGGGUUGUUAAGUCAGUUGUGAAAGUUUGCGGCUCAACCGUAAAAUUGCAAUUGAUACUGGCAGUCUUGAGUACAGUUGAGGUAGGCGGAAUUCGUGGUGUAGCGGUGAAAUGCUUAGAUAUCACGAAGAACUCCGAUUGCGAAGGCAGCUUACUAACCUGUAACUGACAUUGAUGCUCGAAAGUGUGGGUAUCAAACAGGAUUAGAUACCCUGGUAGUCCACACGGUAAACGAUGAAUACUCGCUGUAGGCGAUAUACAGUCUGCGGCCAAGCGAAAGCAUUAAGUAUUCCACCUGGGGAGUACGCCGGCAACGGUGAAACUCAAAGGAAUUGACGGGGGCCCGCACAAGCGGAGGAACAUGUGGUUUAAUUCGAUGAUACGCGAGGAACCUUACCCGGGCUUAAAUUGCAACCGAAUAUGGCGGAAACGCUAUAGCUAGCAAUAGCGGUUGUGAAGGUGCUGCAUGGUUGUCGUCAGCUCGUGCCGUGAGGUGUCGGCUUAAGUGCCAUAACGAGCGCAACCCUUGCCGAUAGUUACUAACAGGUCAUGCUGAGGACUCUGUCGGGACUGCCAUCGUAAGAUGUGAGGAAGGUGGGGAUGACGUCAAAUCAGCACGGCCCUUACGUCCGGGGCUACACACGUGUUACAAUGGGGGGUACAGAGGGCUGCUACCACGCAAGUGGAUGCCAAUCCCAAAAACCUCUCUCAGUUCGGAUUGAAGUCUGCAACCCGACUUCAUGAAGCUGGAUUCGCUAGUAAUCGCGCAUCAGCCACGGCGCGGUGAAUACGUUCCCGGGCCUUGUACACACCGCCCGUCAAGCCAUGGGAGCCGGGGGUACCUGAAGUGCGUAACCGCAAGGAGCGCCCUAGGGUAAAACUGGUGACUGGGGCUAAGUCGUA